RNAcentral lists this ribosomal RNA (253 nucleotides) under uncultured bacterium. RNAcentral describes it as "partial 16S ribosomal RNA". It matches the Rfam family "Bacterial small subunit ribosomal RNA", at positions 524 to 776 of the family's 1533-position model. The record is from RNAcentral.
UACAGAGGUCUCAAGCGUUGUUCGGAUUCAUUGGGCGUAAAGGGUGCGUAGGCGGCGGGGUAAGUCUGAUGUGAAAUCCCGGGGCUCAACCCCGGAACUGCAUUGGAUACUGCCCUGCUUGAGUACUGGAGAGGAGACUGGAAUUUACGGUGUAGCAGUGAAAUGCGUAGAGAUCGUAAGGAAGGCCAGUGGCGAAGGCGAGUUCCUGGACAGUGACUGACGCUGAGGCACGAAGGCCAGGGGAGCAAACGGG